This is a long non-coding RNA of Anguilla anguilla (European eel), 1130 nucleotides long. RefSeq lists it as uncharacterized. The record is from RefSeq and is a predicted model, not a curated record. The transcript is spliced from 3 exons. Lineage: Eukaryota; Metazoa; Chordata; Actinopteri; Anguilliformes; Anguillidae.
CACACACACACACACACACACACAGACACUGCAGCUCCUCAGUUUUGGGAUUAGUUUUUGGGAGUUUGGAGUGGCGGCUUCAGCUCGUGAGCGAUUAGGGCGUGCAGUCUCUCUGGGGCCUUUGUGGUUUGGAGAGCGUACAGAUGAAUUAUCUGUGUGGUUUUCGGUAAGGGGGGGGGGGGGGUAGUUAAUCAUCUCGUCCCUCCCCAGGCAUUUCGGGAGCCCUGAGCUCCAUAAUCAAACCUUAAGCCCCACAGCGUGCUCACAGAAGCAGAAGGCCCCGAAGAUGCAGAGCUUCUUUUUCCUGUGGUCACUGUCGGCACACGCCUCUGUCCGCUGUGUCAUCCAUCAUCCUCAGGCUUCGGCAGGUAGCAGCUGGAUCCGGAGCCUCCACCUGGAUGUCAGGACUCUUUCAGCAUCGACAGAACCAUCCACAAAACUCAGUCCAGCUAAAAGGAACAAGGGAAGUCACAGGAAAUGCAUCUCUGAGGAAGUCGACUGUUAGCAUUGUUUAGGAGAACACUGAAAACUCCACCUCCAAUCCCACAGUGCUAAUCAGCGACCCUACCAAGCCACUGUCACAGUGACGUUGAGGAGACACGUCAACUGAACCCAGGCCUGGUGCUGCCAGAUUAUCCUCUCUUCCUUAACGUAGGGAAUCGCGACGCGCGUUCAGACAGACGCGGAAAUGGGAGUGUGGGACCAGGGUUCGAAUGCGCCUGGGUGCCUCCUGGGUGCGACCCUCUCACCUCGUUUCACCUCCUUGGGGCAUCGGGAGGACAGGCGCCAUCUUGUCAGCGAUGUCCCAUCGCUAUCGAGUACCCCCAAAGGCUAGCCGGCGCAUCACACCUCUUCUUCAGUUCUCUCCUUCUUUUUGAUCAUUUUCCUCCCCAAAUUCUAUCAGGAUACAAGUCUCAACAUCACCCAAACAUACAGUAAGAGUCACACCAGGAGUGUCAACACCCCCCCCCCCUUCAAAAAAAAAGAAAACUCUCUCAUCAUACACCUGGAGUCUCUCUGCUUGAUGUUAUGCUUAACUUAACUAGAAUGCUUAAUUAAUGACCCCCACUGCAGAGUAGGGUGCUGGUUUUGCACAAGACAAGCCUCCACCCAGCCUCAUGUUGGACAGU